Nicotiana tabacum (common tobacco) is the source of this 1148-nucleotide non-coding RNA. The record is from RefSeq and is a predicted model, not a curated record. NCBI's taxonomy places the organism in Eukaryota, Viridiplantae, Streptophyta, Magnoliopsida, Solanales, Solanaceae.
GCUGCCAGCUAUCCCAUUUCUGUUAGAAAGAUGCUUUUAGGGGCUGUGCGAGGGAAUAAUUCCCUGAUUUCAGUUUUCCAGCACAUGGCAUUUAGGACAAUAAAUAGUACCCUUCUCUUCACUCAAAGGAGAGGCUGAUACAUAUUUGAGACCUAAAAAAACCUUUUCUGAAAAUCCAACUUACUCUUUCUAUCAGCUUUUUGUUUUCUGCUUUUCACCUAAAGGUUUGGAGUGGUUUUCCUUGGAAUUCCUGGGUUUCUAAUUUGAAAUAUGGCUUGAUACUAAAGCUGUAUAUUGGCUGAUACUGCUAUUUCUUUGCUGCUGAAUUACUUUGUCUCUAUUUAGUAAGUUUGGAUCCAUCUCUGAGCAGCUAGAGUUGGUAUUCGAUGAUCCACAGUCUAUUGUUACUGUCAAGUGGACAUGGAAUUUCAAUAUAAACAGAUGUUGAUGUAUAAAGUAUGGCUGGAAAGUGUGAUUUUAGUUUAAUUACCUUUUAGUAGCGAUUGAAUGUGUAACAAUGUAUCCACUGUAUUGCACUCUAUGUUGUGGGUAUGGAAACAUGAAAAACACACCUUAACAGGAAUUAGAUCAAAUAUUGGGGGGGCCAAUUUAGGCCGAAUGACACCCCGCCUGUUUGGCCUAGGGUCUAGUUUGGUAGUUCACCCUAUAUCCGCAUGAAAACAUGUACUAAUAUUGUUCACAUCUUUUAGAUAUCAUAAAUGAGAAGCAUGAUUUGGAUGCUAAUGUUUUAUUUAUGUUAUCAUGUGGUCAUAUGUUAAUUUGACUCUAUGUCCAAUGCUGUAUUUUAAGUCUUUAUAUGCUAUAUAUUUUGGAAUUUGUAUGAAGCUGUGCCUAAGAAGGUAAAUUGAGCCAGACUUGGAAACAACCCAAAUAGAGUUGUGCAUGUGAGUCUGGACACUUCAGGACAUGGACCAUGGAGUAUAACCCAGUGUGAAUUUACAGGAACUAAUGUUUUCCAGCCUUUAUUUUAUUACAACUUUUCAGCAGGUUAAUUAAAAACAAAUGGCAUUUCUCAAUUUCUUAGGGUCAGCAGAUUCGAACAUAUGGACUUUAGAAUCAAUGUGAUUUAGAAAUAUAGACUUAAGGAUCCAUAACAAUCAAAUGAAUCAGAUAUGCCUAGAGUUUGA